Molecule: ribosomal RNA, 557 nt
Filed under: uncultured bacterium
Lineage: Bacteria
Description: partial 16S ribosomal RNA
Rfam family: Bacterial small subunit ribosomal RNA
Source: RNAcentral
UGGGGAAUUUUGGACAAUGGGCGAAAGCCUGAUCCAGCAAUGCCGCGUGUGUGAAGAAGGCCUUCGGGUUGUAAAGCACUUUUGUCCGGAAAGAAAUCCUUGGCUCUAAUACAGUCGGGGGAUGACGGUACCGGAAGAAUAAGCACCGGCUAACUACGUGCCAGCAGCCGCGGUAAUACGUAGGGUGCAAGCGUUAAUCGGAAUUACUGGGCGUAAAGCGUGCGCAGGCGGUUUGCUAAGACCGAUGUGAAAUCCCCGGGCUCAACCUGGGAACUGCAUUGGUGACUGGCAGGCUAGAGUAUGGCAGAGGGGGGUAGAAUUCCACGUGUAGCAGUGAAAUGCGUAGAGAUGUGGAGGAAUACCGAUGGCGAAGGCAGCCCCCUGGGCCAAUACUGACGCUCAUGCACGAAAGCGUGGGGAGCAAAACAGGAUUAGAUACCCUGGUAGUCCACGCCCUAAAACGAUGUCAACUAGUUGUUGGGGAUUCAUUUCCUUAGUAACAUAGCUAACGCGUGAAGUUGACCGCCUGGGGAGUACGGUCGCAAGAUUAAAAACUU